AGCUCCAAUAGCGUAUAUUAAAGUUGUUGCGGUUAAAAGCUCGUAGUUGGAUUUCUGUUGAGGACAGGCGGUCCGCACUACGUGCGUGUAUCUGUUUUGGCCUCGGCAUCCUCUCGAUGAACAUUGCUGUGCUUGAUUGCAUGGCGUGGUGAUCGGGACUUUUACUUUGAGGAAAUUAGAGUGUUCACGGCAGGCUUACGCCCUGAAUAUAUUAGCAUGGAAUAAUAAUAUAGGAUCUGAUGCCUAUUUUGUUGGUUUCUAGGUGUUAGAUAAUGAUUAAUAGGGACAAUUGGGGGGGAUUCGUAUUACGGCGUCAGAGGUGGAAUUCUUGGAUUGCCGUACGACGAAACUACU
RNAcentral lists this ribosomal RNA (354 nucleotides) under uncultured eukaryote. RNAcentral's name for it is "SSU rRNA". It matches the Rfam family "Eukaryotic small subunit ribosomal RNA", at positions 587 to 944 of the family's 1831-position model. The record is from RNAcentral.